UGCGAACUCCUACGGGAGGCAGCAGUGAGGAAUAUUGGUCAAUGGGCGAGAGCCUGAACCAGCCAAGUAGCGUGCAGGAUGACGGCCCUCCGGGUUGUAAACUGCUUUUAGUUGGGAAUAAAACAGCGGACUUGUCCGCUCUUGUAUGUACCUUCAGAAAAAGGACCGGCUAAUUCCGUGCCAGCAGCCGCGGUAAUACGGAAGGUCCAGGCGUUAUCCGGAUUUAUUGGGUUUAAAGGGAGCGUAGGCGGAUUGUUAAGUCAGCGGUUAAAGGGUGUGGCUCAACCAUGCAUUGCCGUUGAAACUGGCGAUCUUGAGUGCAGACAGGGAUGCCGGAAUUCGUGGUGUAGCGGUGAAAUGCUUAGAUAUCACGAAGAACUCCGAUCGCGAAGGCAGGUGUCCGGGCUGCAACUGACGCUGAGGCUCGAAAGUGUGGGUAUCAAACAGGAUUAGAUACCCUUGUAGUCCU
This 469-nucleotide ribosomal RNA is filed under the name uncultured bacterium. RNAcentral's name for it is "bacterial SSU rRNA". It matches the Rfam family "Bacterial small subunit ribosomal RNA", at positions 330 to 797 of the family's 1533-position model. The record is from RNAcentral.